GGCGNUCAGGAAAGUCUGGAGUAAAAGGCUAUGGCUCANCCAUAGUGUGCUCUGGAAACUNUCUGACUUGAGUGCAGAAGGGGAGAGUGGAAUUCCAUGUGUAGCGGUGAAAUGCGUAGAUAUAUGGAGGAACACCAGUGGCGAAAGCGGCUCUCUGGUCUGUCACUGACGCUGAGGCUCGAAAGCGUGGGUAGCGAACAGAAUUAGAUACCCUGGUAGUNCACGCCGUAAACGAUGAGUGCUAGGUGUUAGGCCCUUUCCGGGGCUUAGUGCCGGAGCUAACGCAAUAAGCACUCCGCCUGGGGAGUACGACCGCAAGGUUGAAACUCAAAGGAAUUGACGGGGGCCCGCACAAGCGGUGGAGCAUGUGGUUUAAUUCGAAGCAACGCGAAGAACCUUACCAGGUCUUGACAUCCCGAUGCUAUUCUUAGAGAUAGGAAGUUACUUCGGUACAUCGGAGACAGGUGGUGCAUGGUUGUCGUCAGCUCGUGUCGUGAGAUGUUGGGUUAAGUCCCGCAACGAGCGCAACCCUUAUUGUUAGUUGCCAUCAUUAAGUUGGGCACUCUAGCGAGACUGCCGGUAAUAAACCGGAGGAAGGUGGGGAUGACGUCAAAUCAUCAUGCCCCUUAUGACCUGGGCUACACACGUGCUACAAUGGUCGGUACAACGAGUUGCGAGCCGGUGACGGCAAGCUAAUCUCUGAAAGCCGAUCUCAGUUCGGAUUGGAGGCUGCAACUCGCCUCCAUGAAGUCGGAAUCGCUAGUAAUCGCGGAUCAGCACGCCGCGGUGAAUACGUUCCCGGGCCUUGUACACACCGCCCGUCACACCACGAGAGUUUGUAACACCCGAAGUCGGUGAGGUAACCUUUUAGGGGCCAGCCGC
This 882-nucleotide ribosomal RNA is filed under the name uncultured bacterium. Its description in RNAcentral is "bacterial SSU rRNA". It matches the Rfam family "Bacterial small subunit ribosomal RNA", at positions 574 to 1456 of the family's 1533-position model. The record is from RNAcentral.